AGGAUGAACGCUGGCGGCGUGCUUAACACAUGCAAGUCACGGGGGCCCAGCAAUGGGCAACCGGCGAACGGGUGCGUAACACGUGAGCAACCUACCGAAAUGAGGGGGAUAGCCGGCCCAACGGCCGGGUAAUACCGCAUAAGCUCAAGUCGAGGCAUUUCGAUUUGAGGAAACCUCCGGGGCGUUUCGAGGGGCUCGCGGCCUAUCAGCUAGUUGGUGAGGUAACGGCUCACCAAGGCAACGACGGGUAGCUGGUCUGAGAGGAUGGCCGGCACAUUGGACUGAGAUACGGCCCAGACUCCUACGGGAGGCAGCAGUGGGGAAUCUUGCGCAAUGGCCUAACGGCUGACGCAGCGACGCCGCGUGAGGGAUGACGCUCUUCGGAGUGUAAACCUCUUUUGUCUGAGACGAAUUGUCAGCUUCAGCUGAUUUGACGGUAUCGGCGAAUAAGCACCGGCUAACUCCGCGCCAAGCCAGCCGC
This 481-nucleotide ribosomal RNA is filed under the name uncultured soil bacterium. RNAcentral's name for it is "bacterial SSU rRNA". It matches the Rfam family "Bacterial small subunit ribosomal RNA", at positions 26 to 518 of the family's 1533-position model. The record is from RNAcentral.